RNAcentral lists this ribosomal RNA (515 nucleotides) under Salmonella enterica subsp. enterica serovar Abony. RNAcentral's name for it is "partial 23S ribosomal RNA". It matches the Rfam family "Bacterial large subunit ribosomal RNA", at positions 1 to 561 of the family's 2925-position model. Lineage: Bacteria; Pseudomonadati; Pseudomonadota; Gammaproteobacteria; Enterobacterales; Enterobacteriaceae. The record is from RNAcentral.
GCGACUAAGCGUACACGGUGGAUGCCCUGGCAGUCAGAGGCGAUGAAGGGCGUGCUAAUCUGCGAUAAGCGCCGGUAAGGUGAUAUGAACCGUUAUAACCGGCGAUACCCGAAUGGGGAAACCCAGUGUGACUCGUCACACUAUCAUUAACUGAAUCCAUAGGUUAAUGAGGCGAACCGGGGGAACUGAAACAUCUAAGUACCCCGAGGAAAAGAAAUCAACCGAGAUUCCCCCAGUAGCGGCGAGCGAACGGGGAGGAGCCCAGAGCCUGAAUCAGCAUGUGUGUUAGUGGAAGCGUCUGGAAAGGCGCGCGAUACAGGGUGACAGCCCCGUACACAAAAGCGCAUGUGCUGUGAGCUCGAUGAGUAGGGCGGGACACGUGGUAUCCUGUCUGAAUAUGGGGGGACCAUCCUCCAAGGCUAAAUACUCCUGACUGACCGAUAGUGAACCAGUACCGUGAGGGAAAGGCGAAAAGAACCCCGGCGAGGGGAGUGAAAAAGAACCUGAAACCGUGU